CCAUGUCCAUUGGGAAUGUGAUUUUUUUCCCCUCUCGGCUGUGCUGACAAAACUUUUCAGUGUAAACCACGCCUAGGUACGAAAUGGGAGACAAGAGGUGUCCGGAGAAACGGGAGAGCACAAGACAAUGCGGAGAGACUGCCCAUCAGCCAGUCGCACAGCGCAGCACACAGGAAGCUUUGCAAAGGCGAUUGGGUUGCUUUAGGUUUCAACAGAGCAACGUUGGGUCAUGGCAACCCUUUUUUCACCCUCACAGAGGAGCCCACCGUGAGCAAGAGAGCAGGGGAUGCGGUAGGGACGUGGUGCGACUCUGCCUGGCAUCAGGUUCUGAUUCUGGAUUUGGAUUCACAUGAUGAACUCUUCAAGGCUCCAACCACAGAUCUGAUGGCAGGAUCAAGGUCCUGAACUCUAAAUAACUGAGUUAGCAAUUGUGACAUCUUCUGCAUGCAAUGCAGCAAACCCAAUUGGAAGAAAGAAACAAGGAGAGGAGAACCCAAAUUAGAUGCAUCUGGCUCCUUCAAAGCAUACUGAAUUUCAUUAAGCAUGAGGCAGCCAAAGGAGCUUCUUAUAGUGUUUUAACCAGAGGACUCAGCUAUUUGAGACAGACAUGCAAUGCCCUAUUAUUUCUUCUCAAACAUCUACCAUAAGUAUCUGAAUGUCAGUAACUGUUAAAGCUGCUGCUACAAUAUCACCUGCCUUCCUAUGGUUAGACAUGUGUGUAACUAGAUCAGAAUAUUAAAGAGAGACUUACUUUUAUGAACAAUUUACAACAGAACCCCAUGACUUCCACAAGUGAUCUUUCAGUAGCACCAAUCUGACAGUCUAGUGCAGUGGUGCAUGUUCAGGCAGUUUUGACAAAUGUUCUUAAACAGUUACUGAUAGUAAUACCAGACAUUAAAAUGAAACCGAGGGCAAGGAUUGUAGUACUCAGACCUUUUGUUGCCUGUUUCCCAAAUAAGCUCCAACACAGUUCUUGGAACUGGCAGAGCUGCUGGCUAACCACACUGCUUCCUAUAGGUUCAGGCAGCAAAGGAUUUCUUGGUAAAUGGAUUUUCAGACCCCUGUGACCCCCAACUCACAGACGUGUCCAAAGAAACGAUCUGGCCUUUAACUGAUGCUUUAGAAAAAGUAUCAGAAGCAUGCCUUUCAACUUCAGGGUUAAGACUAAUCUUCAUGCCCUAAGGGUCAGAUCCCAUAGUCCUCACUCAGGUGGCACAAUGUGACACCAACCCAGCAUGUUAUUCUGCAUGGGAAGUGGCAUGGAGCCUCACUGGUUAGUAGGUUUCACAUAGGCCAGAGGAAUCUACCUACACAAAACGCUUGGAUUAUCAGAGGCUAUGUGUCUUCAUGAGAAGCAUGGCAGGAUGGCUGGAUAAAGAAGGACCUAUGCAAACAGUGAACCUUAUUCUGUCUUGCAUGGAAGAGAGUGGAGUGACGUCUGAACCAGCUUUAAAAUGAUUUUUUCAUCCUGCUUUAAUUUUGCUUUUCCUAAUCUCUCACCAUGUUAUUUUAGGACAGCAUUUCCCAAACUGUGGGUUGUGCAAAAGUUUUGGGUGGAGAGGGAGGAGACAUGCAAAUCAUGGUAGGAAGUGGUGGUACCACCCACCACUUCAACCACUCCAGUGCCCCUCUCUCUCCUUCAGCUGCCGCCACCAUUGCUUCCUCCUGCCACUGGUGAGGGCAGUUGGCAGCAAUCAAGUAGUGAUGACAAAGCAGGGAGGCACAAGAUUUACCAGCUUCAC
Molecule: long non-coding RNA, 1742 nt
Organism: Alligator sinensis (Chinese alligator)
Lineage: Eukaryota; Metazoa; Chordata; Crocodylia; Alligatoridae
Exons: 3
Source: RefSeq, a predicted model, not a curated record